UACGAGGGGGGCAAGCGUUGUUCGGAAUUAUUGGGCGUAAAGGGCGCGUAGGCGGUGCGGUAAGUCUGAUGUUAAAGCCCGAGGCUCAACCUCGGUUCGCAUUGGAAACUGUGUAGCUUGAGUGCAGAAGAGGAAAGCGGUAUUCCACGUGUAGCGGUGAAAUGCGUAGAGAUGUGGAGGAACACCAGUGGCGAAGGCGGCUUUCUGGUCUGUAACUGACGCUGAGGCGCGAAAGCGUGGGGAGCAAACAGG
This 252-nucleotide ribosomal RNA is filed under the name uncultured bacterium. RNAcentral's name for it is "partial 16S ribosomal RNA". It matches the Rfam family "Bacterial small subunit ribosomal RNA", at positions 524 to 776 of the family's 1533-position model. The record is from RNAcentral.